GGUGAAGAACGCAGCGAAAUGCGAUAAGUAAUGUGAAUUGCAGAAUUCAGUGAAUCAUCGAAUCUUUGAACGCAUCUUGCGCUCCUUGGUAUUCUGAGGAGCAUGCCUGUCCGAGCGUCAUUGCUGCCCUCAAGCACGGCUUGUGUGUUGGGCCUCCGUCCUCCUCCCGGGGGACGGGCCCGAAAGGCAGCGGCGGCACCGCGUCCGGUCCUCGAGCGUAUGGGGCUUCGUCACCCGCUCUUGUAGGCCCGGCCGGCGCUUGCCGACACAUCAAUCUUUUUUCCAGGUUGACCUCGGAUCAGGUAGGGAUACCCGCUGAACUUAAGCAUAUCAAUAAGCGGAGGA
This 345-nucleotide unclassified non-coding RNA is filed under the name soil metagenome. RNAcentral describes it as "partial contains 5.8S ribosomal RNA, internal transcribed spacer 2, and large subunit ribosomal RNA". The stretch from base 3 to 120 matches the Rfam family "5.8S ribosomal RNA", at positions 37 to 154 of the family's 154-position model. The record is from RNAcentral.